RNAcentral lists this small RNA (46 nucleotides) under Acidobacteriia bacterium SbA2. RNAcentral's name for it is "Solibacteres bacterium SbA2 Acido-Lenti-1". It matches the Rfam family "Acido-Lenti-1 RNA". The record is from RNAcentral. Lineage: Bacteria; Pseudomonadati; Acidobacteriota; Terriglobia.
CCCAGGGCUUCCGCCCUGGGCUAAUUUAUUUCGGCCCUACGGGCCU